CUUUCCUUGAUCUAGUGAUUUGAUUUUGCGCACACUAAAAUCACUACGAUAAGCAUAAUCAAGAUAAAAUUUAAAUGUAAUAGCAAGUGACUGAAACUCCUUGUCGAUGUACGACACUCUUGAUUCUUCAUUACCAAACUGUGGAAUUUCCUCACGUGAAGAUCUUAUACUUUCUGUAUUUUGUUAAGGCAAGUAGAGAAUCCAAAUUUGUCCUGCACCAUGUAGAUAAUAGAUGUAAGAUUAACAAAAUAAAUAUAGCUUAUAGAUAAAAACUAUAUUAUUCAUGAGAAAAUUCUUUAUUAACAAUUUAUGUUUAAGUUAAUUAAGUUCAUUCAGAGUGAAG
This 343-nucleotide unclassified non-coding RNA is filed under the name Hevea brasiliensis (rubber tree). Lineage: Eukaryota; Viridiplantae; Streptophyta; Magnoliopsida; Malpighiales; Euphorbiaceae. The record is from RNAcentral.